This 74-nucleotide transfer RNA is filed under the name Azoarcus indigens. RNAcentral describes it as "tRNA-Cys". It matches the Rfam family "tRNA". From Rfam's summary of the family: Transfer RNA (tRNA) molecules are approximately 80 nucleotides in length. Their secondary structure includes four short double-helical elements and three loops (D, anti-codon, and T loops). The record is from RNAcentral. Lineage: Bacteria; Pseudomonadati; Pseudomonadota; Betaproteobacteria; Rhodocyclales; Zoogloeaceae. RNAcentral also lists the same sequence under 14 other names.
GGCGCGAUGGCAGAGUGGUUAUGCAGCGGCCUGCAAAGCCGUGUACAUCGGUUCGAUUCCGGUUCGCGCCUCCA